This is a transfer RNA of Selaginella moellendorffii, 80 nucleotides long. It matches the Rfam family "tRNA". Rfam says of the family: Transfer RNA (tRNA) molecules are approximately 80 nucleotides in length. The record is from Rfam. Lineage: Eukaryota; Viridiplantae; Streptophyta; Lycopodiopsida; Selaginellales; Selaginellaceae.
GACGGUUUGGCCGAGUGGUCUAAGGCGUUGGAUUUAGGCUCCAAUCCGUAAGGGCGUGGGUUCAAAUCCCACAGCCGUCA